GGGGCUGUGGCGCAGCUGGGACGCGCGACUGCAUGGCAUGCAGUAGGUCGAGGGUUCGAUCCCCUCCAGCUCCA
This 74-nucleotide transfer RNA is filed under the name Candidatus Omnitrophota bacterium. RNAcentral describes it as "tRNA-Ala". It matches the Rfam family "tRNA". Rfam says of the family: Transfer RNA (tRNA) molecules are approximately 80 nucleotides in length. Lineage: Bacteria; Pseudomonadati; Candidatus Omnitrophota. The record is from RNAcentral.